This 254-nucleotide ribosomal RNA is filed under the name uncultured bacterium. RNAcentral describes it as "partial 16S ribosomal RNA". It matches the Rfam family "Bacterial small subunit ribosomal RNA", at positions 524 to 776 of the family's 1533-position model. The record is from RNAcentral.
UACGUAGGGGGCGAGCGUUGUCCGGAUUUAUUGGGCGUAAAGAGCUCGUAGGCGGUUCGGUAAGUCGGAUGUGAAAUCUCCACGCUCAACGUGGAGGGGCCAUUCGAUACUGCCGUGACUCGAGUCCGGUAGGGGAGUGUGGAAUUCCCGGUGUAGCGGUGAAAUGCGCAGAGAUCGGGAGGAACACCCGUAGCGAAGGCGGCACUCUGGGCCGGUACUGACGCUGAGGAGCGAGAGCGUGGGGAGCGAACAGG